UACGGAGGAUGCGAGCGUUAUCCGGAUUUAUUGGGUUUAAAGGGUGCGUAGGCUGUCGGUUAAGUCAGCGGUGAAAUCAGCACGCUUAACGUGUUGUUUGCCGUUGAAACUGUCCGUCUUGAAUGCGCUCGUCGUGGGAGGAAUGUGUGGUGUAGCGGUGAAAUGCAUAGAUAUCACACAGAACACCGAUUGCGAAGGCAUCUCACGAGAGCGUUAUUGACGCUGAUGCACGAAAGCGCGGGUAU
Molecule: ribosomal RNA, 245 nt
Filed under: uncultured Falsiporphyromonas sp.
Lineage: Bacteria; Pseudomonadati; Bacteroidota; Bacteroidia; Bacteroidales; Porphyromonadaceae
Description: partial 16S ribosomal RNA
Rfam family: Bacterial small subunit ribosomal RNA
Source: RNAcentral